Molecule: ribosomal RNA, 589 nt
Filed under: Escherichia coli
Lineage: Bacteria; Pseudomonadati; Pseudomonadota; Gammaproteobacteria; Enterobacterales; Enterobacteriaceae
Description: bacterial LSU rRNA
Rfam family: Bacterial large subunit ribosomal RNA
Source: RNAcentral
GGCGUGUGACUGCGUACCUUUUGUAUAAUGGGUCAGCGACUUAUAUUCUGUAGCAAGGUUAACCGAAUAGGGGAGCCGAAGGGAAACCGAGUCUUAACUGGGCGUUAAGUUGCAGGGUAUAGACCCGAAACCCGGUGAUCUAGCCAUGGGCAGGUUGAAGGUUGGGUAACACUAACUGGAGGACCGAACCGACUAAUGUUGAAAAAUUAGCGGAUGACUUGUGGCUGGGGGGGAAAGGCCAAUCAAACCGGGAGAUAGCUGGUUCUCCCCGAAAGCUAUUUAGGUAGCGCCUCGUGAACUCAUCUCCGGGGGUAGAGCACUGUUUCGGCAAGGGGGUCAUCCCGACUUACCAACCCGAUGCAAACUGCGAAUACCGGAGAAUGUUAUCACGGGAGACACACGGCGGGUGCUAACGUCCGUCGUGAAGAGGGAAACAACCCAGACCGCCAGCUAAGGUCCCAAAGUCAUGGUUAAGUGGGAAACGAUGUGGGAAGGCCCAGACAGCCAGGAUGUUGGCUUAGAAGCAGCCAUCAUUUAAAGAAAGCGUAAUAGCUCACUGGUCGAGUCGGCCUGCGCGGAAGAUGUAACG